Molecule: ribosomal RNA, 468 nt
Filed under: uncultured bacterium
Lineage: Bacteria
Description: partial 16S ribosomal RNA
Rfam family: Bacterial small subunit ribosomal RNA
Source: RNAcentral
GAUGAACGCUGGCGGCGUGCUUAACACAUGCAAGUCGAACGGAAAGGCCCAAGCUUGCUUGGGUCCUCGAGUGGCGAACGGGUGAGUAACACGUGGGUGAUCUGCCCUGCACUUCGGGAUAAGCCUGGGAAACUGGGUCUAAUACUGGAUAGGACCACUUCUUGGAUGGUGUGGUGGAAAGUUUUUUCGGUGUGGGAUGAGCUCGCGGCCUAUCAGCUUGUUGGUGGGGUAAUGGCCUACCAAGGCGUCGACGGGUAGCCGGCCUGAGAGGGUGUACGGCCACAGGGGGACUUAGAAACGGGCCAGAGUCCUACGGGAGGCAGCAGGGGGGAAUAUUGAACAAUGGGCGCAAGCCUGAUGCAGCGACGCGGCGUGGGGGAUGACGGCCUUCGGGUUGUAAACUCCUUUCGCUAGGGACGAGGCGUUUUUGUGACGGUACCUGGAGAAGAAGCACCGGCUAACUACGUG